GCAAGUCGAGGGGCAGCAUUAUUUUAGUUUACUAGAAUAGAUGGCGACCGGCGCACGGGUGAGUAACACGUAUCCAACCUACCUUUUACAUGAGUAUAGGCUUUCGAAAGAAAGAUUAAUCCUCAAUAGUCUAUAUUUUCCGCAUGGUUUAUAUAGUAAAGAAUUUCGGUGAAAGAUGGGGAUGCGUUUUAUUAGUUUGUAGGUGAGGUAACGGCUCACCUAGACAUCGAUGAAUAGGGGUUCUGAGAGGAAGGUC
This 256-nucleotide ribosomal RNA is filed under the name uncultured bacterium. RNAcentral's name for it is "partial 16S ribosomal RNA". It matches the Rfam family "Bacterial small subunit ribosomal RNA", at positions 57 to 305 of the family's 1533-position model. The record is from RNAcentral.